Molecule: ribosomal RNA, 415 nt
Filed under: uncultured bacterium
Lineage: Bacteria
Description: bacterial SSU rRNA
Rfam family: Bacterial small subunit ribosomal RNA
Source: RNAcentral
GGACCCGCACAAGUAGUGGAGCAUGUGGUUUAAUUCGAUGCAACGCGAAGAACCUUACCAGGGUUUGACAUCCUGCGAAUCUCUUGGAAACGAGAGAGUGCCUUCGGGAACGCAGUGACAGGUGGUGCAUGGCUGUCGUCAGCUCGUGUCGUGAGAUGUUGGGUUAAGUCCCGCAACGAGCGCAACCCACGUCGUUAGUUGCCAGCAUUUAGUUGGGCACUCUAGCGAGACCGCCGGUGAUAAACCGGAGGAAGGUGUGGAUGACGUCAAGUCAUCAUGCCCCUUACAUCCUGGGCUACACACGUACUACAAUGCUACGGACAAAGGGCAGCAAACUCGCGAGAGCUAGCAAAUCCCAUAAACCGUGGCUCAGUUCAGAUCGUAGGCUGCAACUCGCCUACGUGAAGGAGGAAUC